Molecule: long non-coding RNA, 523 nt
Organism: Eurytemora carolleeae
Lineage: Eukaryota; Metazoa; Arthropoda; Copepoda; Calanoida; Temoridae
Exons: 3
Source: RefSeq, a predicted model, not a curated record
AGAGUUAAACUUGAAAGUUUUCAAAACGGACGCUUAGAAGAAUGUUUAGAAAUUAAUUUCCCUGAAAAACCUGGAAGUGAGAAAAAUGUGGAAAAGCUAUUACAUUCUUUGGAAAAAAUCUGGGAGGAAGUUAAUCAGAAAAAAGAGAAAAACAUCAAAGUAUUCGGAUUAUUUUAAUAAACUUUGAAAGAUGGCUUAAUUAGGACAAUUUUUUGUUUAGAGUAUAAUUAAAAUUGAUCUCAACUGUGAUAGAUUGAAGUCAGCUGAUCACUCAGCAGCCGCCUUUAACGUCUCUAAGCUAUCACAGCUGAGAUGUAUUAACGUCUCUAAGCUAUCACAGCUGAAAUGUAUCAACGUCUCUAAGCUAUCACAGCUGAAAUGUAUCAACGCCUCUAAGCUAUCACAGCUGGGAUGUAUUAACGUCUCUAAGCUAUCACAGCUGAGAUGUAUCAACGUCUCUAAGCUAUCACAGCUGAGAUGUAUCAACGUCUCUAAGCUAUCACAGCUGAGUUGUAUUACCGUC